This 497-nucleotide ribosomal RNA is filed under the name uncultured bacterium. RNAcentral's name for it is "partial 16S ribosomal RNA". It matches the Rfam family "Bacterial small subunit ribosomal RNA", at positions 28 to 507 of the family's 1533-position model. The record is from RNAcentral.
GACGAACGCUGGCGGCGUGCCUAAUACAUGCAAGUCGAGCGCUCAAGGUUGGUACUUGUACCUACUGGAUGAGCAGCGAACGGGUGAGUAACGCGUGGGGAAUCUGCCUUUGAGCGGGGGACAACUUCUGGAAACGAAUGCUAAUACCGCAUAAAAACUUUAAACACAAGUUUUAAGUUUGAAAGAUGCAAUUGCUUCACCCAAAAAUGAUCCCGGGGUGUAUUAGCUAGUUUGUGAGGUAAAGGCCCAACAAGGCGAUGAUACAUAGGCGACCUGAGAAGGUGGUCCGCCACAAUGGGAACGGGACAACGCCCAAAACUCUACGGGAAGGAGCAGGAGGGGAACUUUGGCAAAGGACGGAAGGCCGACCGAGGAACGCCGCGUGAGUGGAGGAGGUUUUCGGGUCGGAAAACUCCGUUGGUAGGGAAGAAAGUUGGUGGGAGUGGAAAGCGCAUCAAGUGACGGUAACUACACAGAAAGGGACGGCUAACUACGUG